Gossypium arboreum is the source of this 479-nucleotide long non-coding RNA. RefSeq lists it as uncharacterized. The record is from RefSeq and is a predicted model, not a curated record. The transcript is spliced from 3 exons. Lineage: Eukaryota; Viridiplantae; Streptophyta; Magnoliopsida; Malvales; Malvaceae.
AUUGAGAGCUUUUUCUUUCACUUUUUUUUUUGCUUGUUUUCAUAAACCAAAUAUCAGAGAAUAGAUCUAAACCUUUUCUCUCCCAAAAUUCUCUCUAAAAUCUCUCGAAAUAAUUUUCAAAGUUGGGCAAAAAGUCAUCUGAAUUUCUUUAAGCAUUUUGAUUCAAACUUCCAAAUCAAUGAUUUGAGUUCAACUGAAGCUCCACAUCAAGAGGAGGAACAUGCAAAUCAAAAUUGAAGCUCAAACUUGCUUGUUUGAACAUAUAUUUGCUUAAAGAGCUAAGUGUGGAGAGAAUUUCCAGGCGUAAGGAGUCGAGAAGCGAGUGCAAGGGCGAUCCAAGAAUAAGGCUCGGUAAUAGCCUAAGAAAUUUACUUUAGAGACUAUAUAGGGGCAUUGUGAUGCUUUUGGGACUAGUGUUAUUUUACUUGUAAUGGACAUUGGAUAUUAAAUUUUAGACAUUAAUUUUGGUGAUUUUAUAA